CGCAGCCGCGGUAAUUCCAGCUCCAAUAGCGUAUAUUAAAGUUGUUGCAGUUAAAAGCUCGUAGUUGAAUUUCGGGAUCAAUACGUCGGUCGUGCCUUCGGUACGUACUGGCGUCAUUGGUUUCUCCCUUCUGACGAACCAUGAUGUCAUUAAUUUGGUGUUAUGGGAAGUUAGGACUGUUACUUUGAAAAAUUAGAGUGUUUAAAGCAGGCUAACGCUUGAAUACAUUAGCAUGGAAUAAUGAAAUAGGACGUUUGAUCCUAUUUUGUUGGUUUCUAGGAUCGACGUAAUGAUUAAUAGGGAUAGUUGGGGGCAUUAGUAUUCAAUUGUCAGAGGUGAAAUUCUUGGAUUUAUUGAAGACUAACUACUGCGAAAGCAUUUGCCAAGGAUGUUUUCAUUAAUCAAGAACGAAAGUUAGGGGAUCGAAGACGAUCAGAUACCGUCGUAGUCUUAACCAUAAACUAUGCCGACUAGGGAUCGGAUGAUGUUAAUUUUUUAAUGACUCAUUCGGCGCCUUACG
Molecule: ribosomal RNA, 520 nt
Filed under: uncultured Glomus
Lineage: Eukaryota; Fungi; Glomeromycota; Glomeromycetes; Glomerales; Glomeraceae
Description: SSU rRNA
Rfam family: Eukaryotic small subunit ribosomal RNA
Source: RNAcentral